This 832-nucleotide ribosomal RNA is filed under the name Camarosporidiella arborescentis. Its description in RNAcentral is "eukaryotic LSU rRNA". It matches the Rfam family "Eukaryotic large subunit ribosomal RNA", at positions 68 to 916 of the family's 3401-position model. Lineage: Eukaryota; Fungi; Ascomycota; Dothideomycetes; Pleosporales. The record is from RNAcentral.
ACAGGGAUUGCCCUAGUAACGGCGAGUGAAGCGGCAACAGCUCAAAUUUGAAAUCUGGCUCUUUCAGAGUCCGAGUUGUAAUUUGCAGAGGGCGCUUUGGCGUUGGCAGCGGUCCAAGUUCCUUGGAACAGGACGUCACAGAGGGUGAGAAUCCCGUACGUGGUCGCUGGCCUUCGCCGUGUAAAGCCCCUUCGACGAGUCGAGUUGUUUGGGAAUGCAGCUCUAAAUGGGAGGUAAAUUUCUUCUAAAGCUAAAUACUGGCCAGAGACCGAUAGCGCACAAGUAGAGUGAUCGAAAGAUGAAAAGCACUUUGGAAAGAGAGUCAAAUAGCACGUGAAAUUGUUGAAAGGGAAGCGCUUGCAGCCAGACUUGCCUGUAGUUGCUCAUCCGGGCUUUUGCCCGGUGCACUCUUCUGCGGGCAGGCCAGCAUCAGUUUGGGCGGUUGGAUAAAGGUCUCUGUCAUGUACCUCUCUUCGGGGAGGCCUUAUAGGGGAGACGUCAUGCAACCAGCCUGGACUGAGGUCCGCGCAUUUAUGCUAGGAUGCUGGCGUAAUGGCUGUAAGCGGCCCGUCUUGAAACACGGACCAAGGAGUCUAACAUCUAUGCGAGUGUUUGGGUGUCAAGCCCGAACGCGUAAUGAAAGUGAACGGAGGUGGGACCCCAUUAGGGUGCACCAUCGACCGAUCCUGAUGUCUUCGGAUGGAUUUGAGUAAGAGCAUGGCUGUUGGGACCCGAAAGAUGGUGAACUAUGCUUGAAUAGGGUGAAGCCAGAGGAAACUCUGGUGGAGGCUCGCAGCGGUUCUGACGUGCAAAUCGAUCGUCAAAUUUGGGC